GCAUACUUAACAAAGGAAAAAGAAAAGUAUCCUCUCCUCCUCUGACUUGGUCUCCCUUACUCUGUCUCAAUGGGGAACAGGACCUUCUCCUGGCAGCUGCCUAUGUUUUGGAUGCCCAGUACAACAGAAAUGUUCCAUUUGAAACUCACCUCAGGCCAUCAGACGUUACUAUUUUUAUAACCACUAGACAACGCAGGUUGCCGCAUACUUCUUUAUUUGUGUAGACCUCGCUCUUGCCCUGUUUGAAGAGCCUGAGUUGCUUCCCCUGCCUUUCUUGGUAAGCAAGCCAUAGCAGAUGGCUAGCCAGAUUUGGUCAUAGAUGAUUGGGCCUUGUGCCUCUUCUUUUUUUCCCCUCAAAUUUCAACAAAUAUGAAUUAGAUGUUAUUUAUUUUUUUUGCUGGGGGAUUAGAGAAGUUCUGUCUACUCACCAAACACAUGCUUCCUUCAUAACGCAUUUUAAGUGCAGUGGGAGAUUUUGGUCUUCUGUGCACACACACACAAAAUCAGAGAUGGUUCAAUGAUGUUUUCAAAGCCAAUUUACUUACUGCCAAGUAGAUGAUGUUCUCAUAUAGUGUAAUAUGCAACUUGUACAUGCCACA
This is a long non-coding RNA of Homo sapiens (human), 599 nucleotides long. NCBI's taxonomy places the organism in Eukaryota, Metazoa, Chordata, Mammalia, Primates, Hominidae. The record is from Ensembl.